This 484-nucleotide ribosomal RNA is filed under the name uncultured bacterium. Its description in RNAcentral is "bacterial SSU rRNA". It matches the Rfam family "Bacterial small subunit ribosomal RNA", at positions 30 to 507 of the family's 1533-position model. The record is from RNAcentral.
AUUGAACGCUGGCGGCAUGCCUUACACAUGCAAGUCGAACGGCAGCACGGGAGCAAUCCUGGUGGCGAGUGGCGAACGGGUGAGUAAUAUAUCGGAACGUGCCCAGUCGUGGGGGAUAACGUAGCGAAAGCUACGCUAAUACCGCAUACGAUCUACGGAUGAAAGCGGGGGAUCGCAAGACCUCGCGCGAUUGGAGCGGCCGAUAUCAGAUUAGCUAGUUGGUGGGGUAAAAGCUCACCAAGGCGACGAUCUGUAGCUGGUCUGAGAGGACGACCAGCCACACUGGAACUGAGACACGGUCCAGACUCCUACGGGAGGCAGCAGUGGGGAAUUUUGGACAAUGGGCGCAAGCCUGAUCCAGCAAUGCCGCGUGCAGGAUGAAGGCCUUCGGUUGUAACUAGCUUUGUACGGUACGAAACGGUGAGCUCUAAUAAAGACUUGCUAAUGACGGUACCGUAAGAAUAAGACACCGGCUAACUACGUG